RNAcentral lists this ribosomal RNA (403 nucleotides) under uncultured bacterium. Its description in RNAcentral is "bacterial SSU rRNA". It matches the Rfam family "Bacterial small subunit ribosomal RNA", at positions 362 to 757 of the family's 1533-position model. The record is from RNAcentral.
UUUUGGACAAUGGGCGCAAGCCUGAUCCAGCAAUGCCGCGUGAGUGAAGAAGGCCUUCGGGUUGUAAAGCUCUUUUGUCAGGGAAGAAACGGUGAGCUCUAAUACAGUUUGCUAAUGACGGUACCUGAAGAAUAAGCACCGGCUAACUACGUGCCAGCAGCCGCGGUAACACGUAGGGUGCAAGCGUUAAUCGGAAUUACUGGGCGUAAAGCGUGCGCAGGCGGUUAUGUAAGUCAGAUGUGAAAUCCCCGGGCUCAACCUGGGAAUGGCAUUUGAGACUGCAUGGCUAGAGUGUGUCAGAGGGGGGUAGAAUUCCACGUGUAGCAGUGAAAUGCGUAGAGAUGUGGAGGAAUACCGAUGGCGAAGGCAGCCCCCUGGGAUAACACUGACGCUCAUGCACGAA